UUAGGGUAUGAAACAGACAGACAGCGGGUUAGGGUAUGAAACAGACAGACAGCGGGUUAGGGUAUGAAACAGACAGACAGUGGGUUAGGGUAGGAAACAGACAGACAGUGGUUUAGGGUAUGAAACAGACAGACAGUGGGUUAGGGUAUGAAACAGACAGACAGUGAGUUAGGGUAGGAACGACAGACAGUGGGUUAGGGUAGGAAACAGACAGUGGGUUAGGGUAGGAAACAGACAGUGGGUUAGGGUAUAAAACAGACAGUGGGUUAGGGUAUGAAACAGACAGUGGGUUAGGGUAUGAAAGAGACAGACAGUGGGUUAGGGUAUGAAACAGACAGACAUUGAGUUAGGGUAUGACACAGACAGACAGUGGGUUAGGGUAGGAAACAGACAGUGGGUUAGGGUAUGAAACAGACAGACAGUGGGUCAGGGUGGGAAACAGACAGUGGGUUAGGGUAUGAAACAGACAGACGGGGUUAGGGUAUGAAACAGACAGUGGGUUAGGGUAGGAAACAGACAGACAGUGGGUUAGGGUAUGAAACAGACAGACAGUGGGUUAGGGUAUGAAACAGACAGUUUGUUAGGGUAUGAAACAGACAGACAGUGUGUUAGGGUAUGAAACAGACAGACAGCGGGUUAGGGUAUGAAACAGACAGACAGCGGGUUAGGGUAUGAACAGACAGACAGCGGGUUAGGGUAUGAAACAGAAAGACAGUGGGUUAGGGUAUGAAAGAGACAGACAGUGGGUUGGGGUAUGAAACAGACAGACAGUGGGUUAGGGUAUGAAACAGACAGACAGUGGGUUAGGGUAUGAAACAGACAGACAGUGGGUUAGGGUAUGAAACAGACAGUGGGUUAGGGCAUGAAACAGACAGACAGUGGGUUAGGGUAGGAAACAGACAGACAGUGUGUUAAGGUAGGAAACAGACAGUGCGUUAGGGUAGGAAACAGACAGUGGGUUAGGGUAUGAAACAGACAGUGGGUUAGGGUAUGAAACAGACAGACAGUGGGUUAGGGUAUGAAAGAGACAGACAGCGGGUUAGGGUAGGAAACAGACAGACAGCGGGUUAGGGUAGGAAACAGACAGACAGUGGGUUAGGGUAGGAAACAGACAGUGGGUUAGGGUAUGAAACAGACAGUGGGUUAGGGUAGGAAACAGACAGACAGUGGGUUAGGGUAGGAAACAGACAGACAGUGGGUUAGGGUAUGAAACAGACUGUGCGUUAGGGUAUGAAACAGACAGACAGCGGGUUAGGGUAUGAAACAGACAGUGGGUUAGGGUAGGAAACAAAGAGUGUGUUAGGGUAGGAAACAGAGAGACAGUGGGUUAGGGUAGGAAACAGAGAGACAGUGAGUUACGGUGUGAUACAGACAGACAGUGGGUUAGGGUAGGAAACAGACAGUGGGUUAGGGUAGGAAACAGACAGACAGUGGGUUAGGGUAUGAAACAGACAGACAGUGGGUUAGGGUAUGAAACAGACAGACAGUGGGUUAGGGUAUGAAACAGACAGACAGUGGGUUAGGGUAUGAAACAGACAGACAGUGGGUUAGGGUAUGAAACAGACAGACAGUGGGUUAGGGUAUGAAACAGACAGUGGGUUAGGGUAUGAAACAGACAGACAGCGGGUUAGGGUAUGAAACAGACAGACAGCGGGUUAGGGUAUGAAAGAGACAGACAGUGGGUUAGGGUAUGAAACAGACAGUGGGUUAGGGUAGAAAACAGACAGACAGUGGUUUAGGGUAGGAAACAGACAGACAGUGGGUUAGGGUAGGAAACAGACAGUGAGUUAGGGUAGGAACCAGACAGUGGGUUAGGGUAGGAAACAGACAGUGGGUUAGGGUAGGAAACAGACAGUGGGUUAGGGUAUAAAACAGACAG
Molecule: long non-coding RNA, 1879 nt
Filed under: Salmo salar (Atlantic salmon)
Lineage: Eukaryota; Metazoa; Chordata; Actinopteri; Salmoniformes; Salmonidae
Description: lncRNA (ENSSSAG00000107872.1)
Source: RNAcentral